RNAcentral lists this ribosomal RNA (253 nucleotides) under uncultured bacterium. RNAcentral describes it as "partial 16S ribosomal RNA". It matches the Rfam family "Bacterial small subunit ribosomal RNA", at positions 524 to 776 of the family's 1533-position model. The record is from RNAcentral.
UACGAAGGGAGCUAGCGUUGCUCGGAUUUACUGGGCGUAAAGCGCACGUAGGCGGCUUGAUAAGUCGGAGGUGAAAUCCUGGGGCUCAACCCCAGAACUGCCUUCGAUACUGUUGAGCUUGAGUAUGAGAGAGGUAAGUGGAACUCCAAGUGUAGAGGUGAAAUUCGUAGAUAUUUGGAAGAACACCAGUGGCGAAGGCGGCUUACUGGCUCAUUACUGACGCUGAGGUGCGAAAGCGUGGGGAUCAAACAGG